Molecule: ribosomal RNA, 519 nt
Filed under: uncultured eukaryote
Lineage: Eukaryota
Description: SSU rRNA
Rfam family: Eukaryotic small subunit ribosomal RNA
Source: RNAcentral
AGGGCACCACCAGGAGUGGAGCCUGCGGCUUAAUUUGACUCAACACGGGGAAACUCACCCGGCCCGGACACCGGAAGGAUUGACAGAUUGAUAGCUCUUUCUUGAUUCGGUGGAUGGUGGUGCAUGGCCGUUCUUAGUUGGUGGAGCGAUCUGUCUGGUUAAUUCCGAUAACGAACGAGACUCUAGCCUAUUAAAUAGACGUCGGGUUCUCUGCACUCGACGGUCUUCUUAGAGGGACAAGGUGCUUUUAGCACCGCGAAACAGAGCAAUAACAGGUCUGUGAUGCCCUUAGAUGUCCGGGGCCGCACGCGCGCUACACUGAAGGAAGCAGCGUGUAACAACCUUGUUCUAACGAACUGGGUAACCCGUGGAACUUCCUUCAUGAUUGGGAUAGGGGUUUGCAAUUUUGCCCCUUGAACGAGGAAUUCCCAGUAAACACUAGUCAUCAGCUAGUGCUGAUUACGUCCCUGCCCUUUGUACACACCGCCCGUCGCUACUACCGAUUGAAUAGUUUAGUGA